GACGAACGCUGGCGGCGUGCUUAACACAUGCAAGUCGAACGAUGAAGCCCAGCUUGCUGGGUGGAAGAGUGGCGAACGGGUGAGUAACACGUGAGUAACCUGCCUAUCACUCUGGGAUAAGCGCUGGAAACGGCGUCUAAUACUGGAUACGACCUAUCACCGCAUGGUGUGUGGGUGGAAAGAUUUAUCGGUGGUAGAUGGACUCGCGGCCUAUCAGCUUGUUGGUGAGGUAAUGGCUCACCAAGGCGACGACGGGUAGCCGGCCUGAGAGGGUGACCAGCCACACGGGGACUGAGACACGGCCCAGACUCCUACGGGAGGCAGCAGUGGGGAAUAUUGCACAAUGGGCGCAAGCCUGAUGCAGCAACGCCGCGUGAGGGACGACGGCCUUCGGGUUGUAAACCUCUUUUAGUAGGGAAGAAGCGUAAGUGACGGUACCUGCAGAAAAAGCACCGGCUAACUACGUGCCAGCCGCCGCCGUAA
RNAcentral lists this ribosomal RNA (483 nucleotides) under uncultured bacterium. RNAcentral describes it as "partial 16S ribosomal RNA". It matches the Rfam family "Bacterial small subunit ribosomal RNA", at positions 28 to 523 of the family's 1533-position model. The record is from RNAcentral.